UAUAUUUUAGUGUAGAAUGCACGAUAAUUUUUGAAAUUGUAAGGUAUAGUUAAAUUCUAUAAAAUAUAA
This 69-nucleotide transfer RNA is filed under the name Baeotus beotus. Its description in RNAcentral is "tRNA-Gln". Lineage: Eukaryota; Metazoa; Arthropoda; Insecta; Lepidoptera; Nymphalidae. The record is from RNAcentral.